RNAcentral lists this ribosomal RNA (367 nucleotides) under uncultured bacterium. Its description in RNAcentral is "bacterial SSU rRNA". It matches the Rfam family "Bacterial small subunit ribosomal RNA", at positions 1136 to 1502 of the family's 1533-position model. The record is from RNAcentral.
AGGUAGNUACAGAAAGNCGGUGAUAAACCGGAGGAGGGUGGGGGGGAAGGGGGGAAGUCAUCAUCGUCAUUAGUAGGAGGACUCCCGUGGUGCAACAAUGUAUACAGAGGACAGCGGGAACCUGNGUUGGAGGGAAUCCCAGAAACUAGUUAGUAGUCCGGAUGAGAGUAGUCAACUNGACUCCGUGAAGUCGGAAUCGGUAGUANNAGUGGAUCAGAAUGCCACGGUGAAUACGUUUCCCGGCCUUGUACACACCGCCCGUCACACCAUGGGAGUGGGGUGCACCAGAAAUAGAUAGAGUAACUUUCGGGAGGGCGUUUACCCCGGUGUGGUUCAUGACUGGGGUGAAGUCGUAACAAGGUAACCG